UAUAAGUUUAUUUUUUAGUUUUUAUAUAAUGUUUCGACUCUUCGUUUUAUUUUGAAACUUUUUUACGAUUAAUAUUUUGAUUGUUACUAUAUGAUAAAACAUGGAUAAUACUUUAUGCAUGGAUAAUUUUUUCUUAAGUUUUUUUAUAAAAUUUUUAAAUAAGACGAAUGGUAAAGGUUGAACACAGAAAUC
RNAcentral lists this microRNA precursor (192 nucleotides) under Oryza brachyantha (malo sina). RNAcentral describes it as "MIR812 microRNA precursor family". It matches the Rfam family "MIR812 microRNA precursor family". The record is from Rfam by way of RNAcentral. Lineage: Eukaryota; Viridiplantae; Streptophyta; Magnoliopsida; Poales; Poaceae.